This 252-nucleotide ribosomal RNA is filed under the name uncultured Bacteroidales bacterium. RNAcentral's name for it is "partial 16S ribosomal RNA". It matches the Rfam family "Bacterial small subunit ribosomal RNA", at positions 524 to 776 of the family's 1533-position model. The record is from RNAcentral. Lineage: Bacteria; Pseudomonadati; Bacteroidota; Bacteroidia; Bacteroidales.
UACGGAGGAUGCGAGCGUUAUCCGGAUUUAUUGGGUUUAAAGGGUGCGUAGGCGGGCCUUCAGGCCGGCGGUAAAAUUGCGGGGCUCAACCUCGUCGAGCCGUUGAAACUGGGUGCCUUGAGUGGGCGAGAAGUACGCGGAAUGCGUGGUGUAGCGGUGAAAUGCAUAGAUAUCACGCAGAACUCCGAUUGCGAAGGCAGCGUACCGGCGCCCAACUGACGCUGAGGCACGAAAGUGCGGGUAUCGAACAGG